GAUGAACGCUAGCAGCAGGCCUAAUACAUGCAAUCGAACGGGAUCCACCAGCUUGCUGGUGGUGAGAGUGGCGCACGGGUGCGUAACGCGUGAGCAACCUACCCGUCCCAGGGGGAUAGCCCCUCGAAAGAGGGAUUAACACCGCAUGACGUUGAGAUGUGGCAUCACAUUUCGACCAAAUAUUCAUAGGGGACGAUGGG
RNAcentral lists this ribosomal RNA (200 nucleotides) under uncultured bacterium. RNAcentral describes it as "partial 16S ribosomal RNA". It matches the Rfam family "Bacterial small subunit ribosomal RNA", at positions 28 to 229 of the family's 1533-position model. The record is from RNAcentral.